RNAcentral lists this ribosomal RNA (468 nucleotides) under uncultured bacterium. Its description in RNAcentral is "partial 16S ribosomal RNA". It matches the Rfam family "Bacterial small subunit ribosomal RNA", at positions 28 to 507 of the family's 1533-position model. The record is from RNAcentral.
GACGAACGCUGGCGGCGUGCCUAACACAUGCAAGUCGAACGGAAAGGCCCUGCUUUUGUGGGUUUCUCGAGUGCCGAACGGGUGUGUAUCACGCGAGUAACCUGCCCUUGUCUUUGGGAGAACUUCAGGAAACUGGGGCUAAUACCGGGGAUGAUCUCCUGCUGCAUGUUGGGGGUUGGUAAGUUUCGGCGGUUGUGGAUAGACUCGCGGCUUAUCAGCUGGAUGGUGAGGUAGUGGCUGACCAAGUCUUGGACGGGUAGCCGGCCUGGGAGGGUGACCGGCGACCUUGGGACUGCGAUACGGACCAGUAUGCUACGGGACGCAGCAGUGGGGAACAUUGCAGAAUGGGCCGACGCCUGAUGCAGAAACGCUGCGUGCGGGAUGCCGGCCUUCGGGUGGUAAACCGCUUUCGCAUGUGACGAAGCGUGAGUGACGGUAACGGGUAAAGAAGCACCGGCUAACUACGUG